CUACGGGACGCUGCAGUGGGGAAUUUUGCGCAAUGGGCGAAAGCCUGACGCAGCAAUACCGCGUGAGUGAAGAAGGCCUUUGGGUCGUAAAGCUCUUCUCUGGGGGAAGAUAGUGACGGUACCCCAGGAAUAAGCACCGGCUAACUCCGUGCCAGCAGCCGCGGUGAAUACGGAGGGUGCAAGCGUUGUUCGGAUUUACUGGCGUAAAGGGCACGUAGGCGGCACAGCAAGUUAAGGGUGAAAUCCCGGGGCUCAACUCCGGAACUGCUCUUAAAACUGCUGAGCUAGAGAUGGUCAGAGGCGGGUAGAAUUCCUGGUGUAGAGGUGAAAUUCGUAGAUAUCAGGAGGAAUACCGGUGGCGAAGGCGGCCCGCUGGGGCCAUUCUGACGCUAAGGUGCGAAAGCGUGGGGAGCGAACGGGAUUAGAUACCCCGGUAGUC
Molecule: ribosomal RNA, 439 nt
Filed under: uncultured bacterium
Lineage: Bacteria
Description: partial 16S ribosomal RNA
Rfam family: Bacterial small subunit ribosomal RNA
Source: RNAcentral